CUCGCUUUUGAGGGUUACCCGAGUGUUGGUUUUCUAUUUAGACACAUCUAAGAAUGAGCCGAUGCCAUCAGUCAGUAACCUAUACAGUCGACUGUGGAGGGGCAUGAUCAGCAGAUUUACAGUAGAAGAUCACAGAAGAGACGCCAUACAGUGUUUCCCAAUCAUGGUCCUUGAGCACCCCCAACAGGUAAUUCGUUUUACAAUAAACCCUAAAAAGUACACGUUGAAAAUGAUACGGGAAGAUGCUCCCUUUAUGAACAAUGUGCAUUUACUAUUCAAUUGUAAC
This is a non-coding RNA of Pimephales promelas (fathead minnow), 286 nucleotides long. The record is from RefSeq and is a predicted model, not a curated record. Lineage: Eukaryota; Metazoa; Chordata; Actinopteri; Cypriniformes; Leuciscidae.